Molecule: long non-coding RNA, 974 nt
Organism: Nymphaea colorata (pocket water lily)
Lineage: Eukaryota; Viridiplantae; Streptophyta; Magnoliopsida; Nymphaeales; Nymphaeaceae
Exons: 4
Source: RefSeq, a predicted model, not a curated record
CGGCAGAACAAAAAUAGAACAUCAAUCCAUCUGAACAGGUGGAACAACUUUUACAGGUCCUUACACAUGAUGUGGUAGGUGGAAUAAGUUCCACCUGACAACAGCAAAACAUCCUUCCCUUCAUGCUGAACCUGAAGCAAGCUGUGUGAAGAGCAUGUCAGGAACACUUCCUGUCAUGGAGAUGGCAGAGUAGGGAUCAGUUGGUCCUACUUGACUGGCUUUAGCAUGGUGUCGUUCCUGGGCUCUGGUAUUGGCCUGACAAUGUGCAGUAUUCACUUGGCCUUCUUCAUCAGCUUGCCAAACUCCCAUUGUUUGCUCUGGUAAAUAUUAUCUUUUGUCAAUAAAACUCAGGGAAUGAUCCCCGCAGUCUUUUCCCGGGCGCUCCACCAGACAACUACCCGUACUAAAUGUCUGGCAUUUUGAUACCAUGUAUCCAAACACGGCCUUAAAGUAAAAAGGGUCAAUGUUUUGUAUUGAGCUAAAACUUCAUGAGAAGAUCGCACGGAUAUCUCCUAAUCAUGGCUUUUACUUCACACCUAAAAGGGCGAUGCAAGCAGCCGGCGGGUUAACAGGUUAGGUUCACAGGGAAUACAGGGAAGAUCGCAGCAGAGGCGCAUGUUCUGUUCUCUCUUUUCUCUGGCAAAAGACAUCAGUUGAGACUGUACUUGGGCAGGGAAGACUCUAGUUGACGAGCGUAUUGCAUCGCACCCAGAAGACCAGGCAUGCAUGAGAGGGCGAGAUUAAUCCAUUCACAUCAUCGAAGUGGCAAGGUCAUCGUCUGGUUCUGGUGUGAGAGAUUGACGAAACCAUGCAUCCACUCGUCGCAGCGAGAAAGGGGCCUACAUCAACAGCAUCAACAUAUAGCACACUAUCUUUUGAGACUUUGAUCUCAAGGAGACGAGAAGGGACGAACUCAGGCUGGUCUCCACUGGCAAUGAUUUUUUCAACAUACAGGGGCUCCCUGCCCAUGCGCC